This 1175-nucleotide long non-coding RNA is filed under the name Astyanax mexicanus (Mexican tetra). Its description in RNAcentral is "lncRNA (ENSAMXG00005022406.1)". Lineage: Eukaryota; Metazoa; Chordata; Actinopteri; Characiformes; Acestrorhamphidae. The record is from RNAcentral.
GUCGACAGAAAACUGUAGAUACGAAGACGUGCUGCCGUAAUGAAGGCUGUCGUGGGAUACAAGGCCAGUUCUGUGGUCCGUGUCUUCGGAACCGAUACGGCGAAGACGUCAAAGUGGCCCCUCUGGAUCCGGUCAGUAUAAGGAGAGUGAAACAGUAUGAAAAUAUGUUCCUACCUUAUCAUAUAUGUGAUCAGUAUAUUAAUAGUACUGGCAUUGUGUUUAAAGAUCUGGAAAAAAAUAAGAGGCCACUUAUUGAUUUUCUUUGAUUUUACCAAAUUAAAAAUCCUCUGGAGUUGUUGCACCAGGAGUGUAAAGGCAUAAAGUUUUCCAAAAGCAGUGUGUAAGACUAGUGGAGGAGAACAUGCCAAGAUGCAUGAAAACUGUGAUUAAAAACCAGGGAUAUUCCACCAAAUAUUGAUUUCUGAACUUUUAAAAUUUUAUGAUUCAUAAACUUUUUUUCUUUAUAUUCUUUGAAAAAGAUGCAGAGCUUUCAGACCUUAGCCAUUUCUUAUUUUCUGCAAAUAAAUGCUCUAAAUUACUUUUUCUUUUUUUUUUGUUUGUAAUUUAGGAGAAAUGUUGUCUGUAGUUUAUCGAGUAAAACAACAAUGUUCAUUUUAAUCGAACAUAUACCUAUAAAUAGUAAAAUCAGAAAAACUGAUUCAGAAACUGAAGUGGUCUCUUAAUUUUAUCCAGAGCUGUAUAUAAUUGUUGUUAAAUUUAAUCCUUAAGUAUAACAACAAUAAAUUAAAUGGAGAACAGUUCUGUAUGUCUUCCUCCAAGAAACCCCAGGAUCUUAAUUUUAGAGAUGUUUGUUCAGAAUGGGUCAGUAAAGUAAAUACUCAGACAGAAAUUUGGUUAGUUGAGGAAGGUAACGCGUGGUGUUGUGAUGUUCACAGGGCUGGCAUUGUCCUCCGUGUCGUGGAAUCUGUAACUGCAGCUUUUGUCGUCAGCGUGACGGUCGCUGUCCGACAGGCAUUCUGUUCCCGCUGGCUCAGUACCACGGCUUUUCUGAUGUUCACUCUUACCUGUGCAGUCUUCGUAACAAAUUGAAAGAUGAGGAAGAAGACCUUUAACAGGAAGAACAACAUUUGGACAGAAGAUGUUUACAUGUUUAAAUUCAACGAUUUGUACAGAUUUUAUACUUUUAAUAAAAUAUAUUUUACAGUAUUUCUUCA